UGUGGCAGAUUAGUGCAAUGAAUUUAAGCUUCAUAYAUAAAGCCACAACUUUUAUUAGAAA
RNAcentral lists this transfer RNA (61 nucleotides) under Calathus mexicanus. Its description in RNAcentral is "tRNA-Leu". Lineage: Eukaryota; Metazoa; Arthropoda; Insecta; Coleoptera; Carabidae. The record is from RNAcentral.